RNAcentral lists this ribosomal RNA (430 nucleotides) under uncultured bacterium. RNAcentral's name for it is "bacterial SSU rRNA". It matches the Rfam family "Bacterial small subunit ribosomal RNA", at positions 354 to 796 of the family's 1533-position model. The record is from RNAcentral.
GUGGGGAAUAUUGCACAAUGGGCGCAAGCCUGAUGCAGCGACGCCGCGUGAGGGAUGACGGCCUUCGGGUUGUAAACCUCUUUCGCCAGGGACGAAGAGAGAUUGACGGUACCUGGAGAAGAAGGACCGGCCAACUACGUGCCAGCAGCCGCGGUAAUACGUAGGGUCCGAGCGUUGUCCGGAAUUACUGGGCGUAAAGAGCUCGUAGGUGGUUUGUCGCGUUGUUCGUGAAAACUCACAACUCAAUUGUGGGCGUGCGGGCGAUACGGGCAGACUGGAGUACUGCAGGGGAGACUGGAAUUCCUGGUGUAGCGGUGGAAUGCGCAGAUAUCAGGAGGAACACCGGUGGCGAAGGCGGGUCUCUGGGCAGUAACUGACGCUGAGGAGCGAAAGCGUGGGGAGCGAACAGGAUUAGAAACCCUAGUAGUCC